CCAGGCGUCGAGCGGCGGACGGGUGAGUAAUGCAUAGGAAUCUGCCCGGUAGUGGGGGAUAACCUGGGGAAACCCAGGCUAAUACCGCAUACGUCCUACGGGAGAAAGCAGGGGAUCUUCGGACCUUGCGCUAUCGGAUGAGCCUAUGUCGGAUUAGCUUGUUGGUGAGGUAAUGGCUCACCAAGGCGACGAUCCGUAGCUGGUCUGAGAGGAUGAUCAGCCACAUCGGGACUGAGACACGGCCCGAACUCCUACGGGAGGCAGCAGUGGGGAAUAUUGGACAAUGGGCGAAAGCCUGAUCCAGCCAUGCCGCGUGUGUGAAGAAGGCUUUCGGGUUGUAAAGCACUUUCAGUGAGGAAGAAGGCCUUGGGGCUAAUACCCCCGAGGAAGGACAUCACUCACAGAAGAAGCACCGGCUAACUCCGUGCCAGCAGCCGCGGUAAUACGGAGGGUGCGAGCGUUAAUCGGAAUUACUGGGCGUAAAGCGCGCGUAGGCGGCGUGAUAAGCCGGUUGUGAAAGCCCCGGGCUCAACCUGGGAACGGCAUCCGGAACUGUCAGGCUAGAGUGCAGGAGAGGAAGGUAGAAUUCCCGGUGUAGCGGUGAAAUGCGUAGAGAUCGGGAGGAAUACCAGUGGCGAAGGCGGCCUUCUGGACUGACACUGACGCUGAGGUGCGAAAGCGUGGGUAGCAAACAGGAUUAGAUACCCUGGUAGUCCACGCCGUAAACGAUGUCGACUAGCCGUUGGGGUCC
RNAcentral lists this ribosomal RNA (751 nucleotides) under Halomonas ventosae. Its description in RNAcentral is "bacterial SSU rRNA". It matches the Rfam family "Bacterial small subunit ribosomal RNA", at positions 84 to 831 of the family's 1533-position model. The record is from RNAcentral. Lineage: Bacteria; Pseudomonadati; Pseudomonadota; Gammaproteobacteria; Oceanospirillales; Halomonadaceae.